Molecule: ribosomal RNA, 301 nt
Filed under: uncultured bacterium
Lineage: Bacteria
Description: partial 16S ribosomal RNA
Rfam family: Bacterial small subunit ribosomal RNA
Source: RNAcentral
CAGUCGCCGCGGUAAUACGUAGGUGGCAAGCGUUGUCCGGAAUUAUUGGGCGUAAAGCGUGCGUAGGCGGUUUUUUAAGUCUGAUGUGAAAGCCCACGGCUCAACCGUGGAGGGUCAUUGGAAACUGGAAAACUUGAGUGCAGAAGAGGAAAGUGGAAUUCCAUGUGUAGCGGUGAAAUGCGCAGAGAUAUGGAGGAACACCGGUGGCGAAGCGGCUCUCUGGUCUGUCACUGACGCUGAGGCUCGAAAGCGUGGGUAGCGAACAGGAUUAGAUACCCGCGUAGUCCCUGUCUCUUAUACA